UAAUCAAAGGGGAAAUCUAAUAAUCCAAAUCAAGAAUGUAAUCUAAUCCACAUGGAUAUGAACAAUCAUCGUACAAUAGUACAAUUGAAUGAAAAUCAAACAUUAACCAUAUUAAUCAAAACAAAAAUUAUAUCAACAAAAUGGAGUAGCCAGCCCUAAGGACAAGUUAUACUAAUCAUGGCAAGAUUAAUCAACUACGAAAUUAAUUCUAAAAAAUGACAAAUAUCUAGUUAAAGAUAAUUAAACCUAAUUCUUAAUCUAAUGAUCACCAUUAAUCCAACUAAUAAAUUAAACUGUUGGAGAUUGAAGGUGGAGAUGUUUGGAGAGUUUUUAAAGUAUUUUGGUUUUGCUAUGAGGAGCUUCGAUUGCCAUUCGGUUAUCGUUUUGUGAAGUUAGUUGAGGUUGGUUUCAUUUUCGGUUCAAGAGUUUUUGUGUUAUGUUAGAAGGGUGUAGAGAGAGGUUCAAGUUGUGUUCUGCAGGGUCUUUGAAGGGGUUGUAGGGAGCUGCAAAAUGGUUAUGUUGUGGAGGUUCUGCGAGCAGGGUGGUCAUCAAAGAAGUGGUUGAUGGUGUGAGGUUUUCGGUUAGUUAUUCUUGGACAGUUGGAGGAGGUUGGCCGGUUCAGGAAAUUGAAGAUUGUUGGUUCAGGUUCAGUUAGAAAUUGGUUGUUGCGGUUAUAGAGUUUGUUAGGAUUCAAUUAGGAGCUUAACCGUUAAAUCCUUCAGUUAGUGGUCUGAAAGCGUCUUUUCCGAAUGAAGAAGAUUGGUUACAUAUGAGAUUGCAUUGCUUCAACCUAUUAUACCUUCUGUCCUGGCCUGGUAAUGUAUGUGAUGGCUGCCACCAGAUUUUUGCAUGAGAAAAUGUAUGCAAGUUGUAUUUGUGUUAAGCUAGCUUAGAAACUUUGGCUUUUGUAAUUAACAGUAACUUGGUAUAAAAAGAAACUAGAAGCUUUAUUGAAUUGGUAUGCUUCUAUGCUAGUUUAGGAGGCUAGUCAUAAUUGCUGGCGUGUUGAUACUGGCUCGGAAAUUGGAUGGCCCUGUCAUGGUUAAUGAAUAAAUUGAAGGCUACUUGGAAAUAUGUUGUGUGGCAUGCCUGUUUUGAUUGGCGAAUGUUAUUAGCUUGAUGUUAUGUUUUUAUAUGUUUGGUAGUGAUGCUUGAUGUUAUAUGGUAUGCCAUGAAUGAUGAUUGUUAGAUGCAUUGCCCAUGUAUAUUGUUAUGUUUGAAAUGAAUGUGAGCUUUAAAUUAUAAAAGAA
Long non-coding RNA from Lathyrus oleraceus (garden pea), 1250 nucleotides. RefSeq lists it as uncharacterized. The record is from RefSeq and is a predicted model, not a curated record. The transcript is spliced from 3 exons. NCBI's taxonomy places the organism in Eukaryota, Viridiplantae, Streptophyta, Magnoliopsida, Fabales, Fabaceae.